GCAGAACGCGAAGAACCUUACCAGGGCUUAAAUGUAGUUUGACGUUAUUGGAAACAGUAAUUUCUUCGGACAAAUUACAAGGUGCUGCAUGGUUGUCGUCAGCUCGUGCCGUGAGGUGUCAGGUUAAGUCCUAUAACGAGCGCAACCCCUGUUGUUAGUUGCCAGCGAGUCAAGUCGGGAACUCUAGCAAGACUGCCGGUGCAAACCGUGAGGAAGGUGGGGAUGACGUCAAAUCAUCACGGCCCUUACGCCUUGGGCUACACACGUGCUACAAUGGACGGUACAGAGAGCAGCCAGUGGGUGACCACGAGCGAAUCUACAAAACCGUUCUCAGUUCGGAUCGGAGUCUGCAACCCGACUCCGUGAAGCUGGAAUCGCUAGUAAUCGGAUAUCAGCCAUGAUCCGGUGAAUACGUUCCCGGGUCUUGUACACACCG
Molecule: ribosomal RNA, 436 nt
Filed under: uncultured bacterium
Lineage: Bacteria
Description: bacterial SSU rRNA
Rfam family: Bacterial small subunit ribosomal RNA
Source: RNAcentral